AUGUGGGCGGAGCGAGGCUACUUGGGGCUUUUCUGCAGCAGCAGUGACCAGAGCUGCUCCCUCGGGACGGCAGGAUGCAGCACGCCCUCAGUAGGAACCAGAGGAUCCUCCUGCCGACCCUGCGCCGGCCCUGCCCCUUGCCCUGGGCACUGGCUGUGGUGUCAGCGGUGGGUGGCUGCGGUGGCUGUGGUCCCAGCCCCCUCAGGCUCACGGGCAGCUGCGGCGGCUUCUGGCUCUGUGAGGUCCACACGGCUCCUGGCACUGGGGCUGGAGGGCGACGCCUUGGAGGCUGGCUGGGGGGCUGGGGCCUCGAAGGAGUCGCUUCCUGCGGAGGAGGAAACGUCGACGGCCAUGCUGUCACGGCAACUCAACACCAGAGCCGAGCAGUCGUCCUCUAUGGGGGGGCGCUUGCUGCUCUGUGAGGACUGGGGCAGGGACGCAGGAUCCUGGGGCUGAGGGCCUGGCGUCCCCUCGGUCCCCGUGCCUGGCAGCAGGCCGAGGCCCGCCAGGUACUCCCUGGCCUCUGGGUCCUGGGGAACGCCCAGGGGCUGCAGCAGGGUGACCGCGCCCUCCUCGUGCUCCUGGGCAGCUUCUCGGCUGGGGCCGAACCACGAGUGGGUCCUGGCGUCCUCCGCUAGCCCUCUCUUUUCCCCUCUUCACUCUCACACAAAUAGAAUACAACUUAGAAAAAAAAUGAGACUCCCUGCUUCAACUCCUCAGGACCUACACAGCCCAGAAGCGACAAGACUUGGCCGCAUCACAGCCUCGGAUCUGUCUCCUUGGGACAGCCUCGUGCUGAGCCCUCAGGACCUGUGUUUCUCCCCAGGAAGCCACAACCUCCUCUCAGGUAGGAAAUGAGCCUGGGAACCCCCGCCCCACACAGCAGGUGGAUCGGUGUCUCCUGCAGUUCUUGAGGAGCCCCCAGGGCCCAGCACAGCCGUGGGCCCAGGAACACGUGGUGAUCCCUCUGGACCGACUGCCCAAGCCCUCUUGGGAGAGGAACCCUCCCUGGGGAGGUGACCCCUCCUCCGGUUGCCCAGGGACAUUGCACGGUGCGAUUUCUCCGUGAUUUCCUGCAGUGCUGGUCACCUCCUCAAGGCUGGGAGGAAAGAACCAGCACCCCAGGAAUUCUCACUACAGUUUCAUUACUUAAGCCGAAAAUAUUAAAGUAUGAUGACUCUUGUUGCUGUUUUCCAUUAAGUAAAGGUAAUACCAAUCUUACUUCUAUGGUUUUUUUUCUUUCUCUUUAUUCUUUGAUUGAUUGAUUGAUUUGAAAGGCAGAGUUACACAGGAUCAGAAGUGCUGAGAGUGAGAGAGGUCAUCCAUCUGCUGGUCCACUCCCCAAAUGGCCACAGAUGCCGUGCUGUGCUGAUCCAGGAGCCAGGAGCUUCUUCUAGGUCUCCCUCAUUGAGAUAGGAGUCCCAGGACUUGGGCCAUCUUCUACUGUUUUCCCAGG
Molecule: long non-coding RNA, 1456 nt
Filed under: Oryctolagus cuniculus (rabbit)
Lineage: Eukaryota; Metazoa; Chordata; Mammalia; Lagomorpha; Leporidae
Description: lncRNA (ENSOCUG00000038195.1)
Source: RNAcentral